ACAGCAGUAGCCGCGGUAAUACGUAGGGGGCAAGCGUUAUCCGGAAUUACUGGGUGUAAAGGGAGCGUAGACGGUUAAACAAGUCUGAAGUGAAAUGCCGGGGCUCAACCCCGGAGCUGCUUUGGGAACUAUAGAACUGGAGUGUCGGAGGGGUAAGCGGAAUUCCCAGUGUAGCGGUGAAAUGCGUAGAUAUUGGGAGGAACACCGGCGGCGAAGGCGGCUUACUGGACGACAACUGACGUUGAGGCUCGAAGGCGUGGGUAGCAAACAGGAUUAGAUACCCGGGUAGUCCCUGUCUCUUAUAC
RNAcentral lists this ribosomal RNA (305 nucleotides) under uncultured bacterium. Its description in RNAcentral is "partial 16S ribosomal RNA". It matches the Rfam family "Bacterial small subunit ribosomal RNA", at positions 506 to 807 of the family's 1533-position model. The record is from RNAcentral.